Molecule: ribosomal RNA, 253 nt
Filed under: uncultured bacterium
Lineage: Bacteria
Description: partial 16S ribosomal RNA
Rfam family: Bacterial small subunit ribosomal RNA
Source: RNAcentral
UACGUAUGGUGCAAGCGUUAUCCGGAUUUACUGGGUGUAAAGGGAGCGCAGGCGGCGCGUUAAGCCUGGUGUGAAAGCCCGCGGCCCAACCGCGGGACUGCAUUGGGAACUGGCGCGCUGGAGUGCCGGAGGGGUAGGCGGAAUUCCUAGUGUAGCGGUGAAAUGCAUAGAUAUUAGGAGGAACACCAGUGGCGAAGGCGGCCUACUGGACGGUGACUGACGCUGAGGCUCGAAAGCGUGGGGAGCAAACAGG